RNAcentral lists this ribosomal RNA (433 nucleotides) under uncultured bacterium. RNAcentral describes it as "partial 16S ribosomal RNA". It matches the Rfam family "Bacterial small subunit ribosomal RNA", at positions 29 to 507 of the family's 1533-position model. The record is from RNAcentral.
AACGAACGCUGGCGGCAUGCCUAACACAUGCAAGUCGAACGAGACCUUCGGGUCUAGUGGCGCACGGGUGCGUAACGCGUGGGAACCUGCCCUUAGGUUCGGAAUAACUCCCCGAAAGGGGUGCUAAUACCGGAUAAUGUCUUCGGACCAAAGAUUUAUCGCCUUUGGAUGGGCCCGCGUUGGAUUAGCUAGUUGGUAGGGAAAAAGCCUACCAAGGCGACGAUCCAUAGCUGGUCUGAGAGGAUGAUCAGCCACACUGGGACUGAGACACGGCCCAGACUCCUACGGGAGGCAGCAGUGGGGAAUAUUGGACAAUGGGCGAAAGCCUGAUCCAGCAAUGCCGCGUGAGUGAUGAAGGCCUUAGGGUUGUAAAGCUCUUUUACCCGGGAUGAUAAUGACAGUACCGGGAGAAUAAGCGCCGGCUAACUCCGUG